Molecule: ribosomal RNA, 292 nt
Filed under: uncultured bacterium
Lineage: Bacteria
Description: partial 16S ribosomal RNA
Rfam family: Bacterial small subunit ribosomal RNA
Source: RNAcentral
GUGCCAGCAGCCGCGGUAAUACGGGGGGUGCAAGCGUUGUCCGGAAUCACUGGGCGUAAAGGGUGCGCAGGCGGGGCAGCAAGUCGGAGGUGAAAGCCCGUGGCUCAACCACGGAAGUGCCUUCGAAACUGUUGCUCUUGAGUCCCGGAGAGGCUGUCGGAAUUCGUGGUGUAGUGGUGAAAUGCGUAGAUAUCACGGGGAACACCAGAGGCGAAAGCGGGCAGCUGGACGGGUACUGACGCUCAGGCACGAAAGCGUGGGGAGCAAACAGGAUUAGAAACCCCAGUAGUCC